Molecule: non-coding RNA, 112 nt
Filed under: bovine gut metagenome
Description: SAM riboswitch (S box leader)
Rfam family: SAM riboswitch aptamer (S box leader)
About the family: The SAM riboswitch is found upstream of a number of genes which code for proteins involved in methionine or cysteine biosynthesis in Gram-positive bacteria. The SAM riboswitch acts at the level of transcription termination control. The predicted structure consists of a complex stem-loop region followed by a single stem loop terminator region.
Source: RNAcentral
CUUAUCCAGAGCGGCUGAGGGACAGGCCCGAUGAAGCCCGGCAACCGGUCGGCGAAAACCGGCGUGGUGCCAAUUCCUGCGGACGACCGAAAAGGCCGCCCGAAAGAUGAGG